Molecule: small RNA, 21 nt
Filed under: Arabidopsis thaliana (thale cress)
Lineage: Eukaryota; Viridiplantae; Streptophyta; Magnoliopsida; Brassicales; Brassicaceae
Description: ATSL055860
Source: RNAcentral
AUCGUAAAUCUCUUGCCUGGU